Molecule: long non-coding RNA, 1250 nt
Organism: Carassius auratus (goldfish)
Lineage: Eukaryota; Metazoa; Chordata; Actinopteri; Cypriniformes; Cyprinidae
Exons: 4
Source: RefSeq, a predicted model, not a curated record
GAAAUCAGGCGGUGAUUACACUUACCUUCUGGAGACCCUGGGGCCCCUGCCUGCCUUCCUGCGACUCUGGAUUGAGUUCAUUUUCAUCAGACCUGCAGUGGCCACAUACGUGUCUCUGGCUUUUGGUCAGUAUGUGGUGGAGCCAUUAUUCAUGCCGUGUGCCGCUCCAACAGUUCUGAUCAAACUCGUCAGCAUGCUGGGAGUCAGUGAGUGACAUUACUUUAUUGAUUACUUUAGUUUAGUAAUCUAAAUUUGUCAAAAAAACCUACAUAUGAUGUUGUAAAACUAUGAUCUGUUCUGCCUAGUAUUUGUGGUGGCAGUGAACUGCUGGAGUGUGUCGAUGGCAGCACGUUUACAGGUCUUGCUGACCUUCAUCAAGAUGUUUGCUCUGAUUCUGAUCAUCAUCCCAGGCAUCAUGGCUCUGGUCAAUGGAUGUUGUUUGUGGGAGCCAGAGAGGGUCACUUACCGGCUAUCUUCUCCAUGAUCCAUAUCCGCAGACAGACACCACUGCCAGCUGUGCUAUGUUUGGUACAAUCACAUCCAUUCAUCCUUUUCUCCUGGUUCCUUAAUACCUGUUUACGUUUCUCCUGAUGUUUGUAGUAUCCUCUGGUGAUCAUCAUAAUGGUGAGAGGAGAGAUCUUUCAACUGAUCAACUUUGCAUCCUUCUCCCGUUGGCUCUUCAUUGCCUUGGCCACAUUAGGAAUGAUCAUCCACCGCUACAGAUUUCCAGAUCAUCCCAGACCAUUCAAGGUCCAUUUAAAUGGCUCAUUACCGAUUUAUUCAUAGGAAUUUGCCACUGUAUUAAUUAAACAUUGCGUUGACUGUGUUCAGGUCCCUCUUGCAGUUGCGGUGAUCUUUACCACAGUGUGUUUCUUCAUCGUGGGCCUGUCCUUGUAUUCGGACCCCUGGAAUACAGGCGGCAGCUGUGCCCUCACAUUAUCAGGAGUACCUGUGUAUUACCUGACAAUCAAGAAGUCAUACAUACCCAAACGCUGGAAAAAAACCUUCAAUUAUUUAAGCCUACAUCUGCAGAUAUUCCUGGAAGUGGCUCAGCAGGAAGUUCAGACGUACUGAUGGAGCUUCACCAAACUACAGACCUGAGUGUUGCAAAGGGCAUCAAAAUUAAUUUGAGUGGUGUUUGCUACUACUAUUAGACCUUACCAACAUAGCAUCAGCAUCGCAAAAUCCUUGCACCCUAUCCAUUAUUGCAAGCAUCACUUAUAUUUUAAUCUAUCUUAUAUUCAAAUCAA